UCAUGAGCUCUCAUGGUAACGGCCCCGGAACCCAAAGACACGUGCCCGUGGACUUAUUUCGGGCGUGUACUUUGGAUUCCGUGCGCGUUGCUAUGA
Molecule: microRNA precursor, 96 nt
Filed under: macacine gammaherpesvirus 12
Lineage: Duplodnaviria; Heunggongvirae; Peploviricota; Herviviricetes; Herpesvirales; Orthoherpesviridae
Description: miRc-N14
Source: RNAcentral